AGAGUUUGAUCCUGGCUCAGGAUGAACGCUAGCGGCAGGCUUAAUACAUGCAAGUCGAGGGGCAGCAGGCUGUAGCAAUACAGUGCUGGCGACCGGCAAACGGGUGCGGAACACGUACGCAACCUUCCUUCAAGUGGGGAAUAGCCCAGGGAAACUUGGAUUAAUACCUCGUAACAUUAUGAAAUGGCAUCAUUUUAUAAUUAUAGUUCCGACGCUUGAAGAUGGGCGUGCGCCUGAUUAGGUAGUUGGCGGGGUAACGGCCCACCAAGCCUACGAUCAGUAACUGGUGUGAGAGCACGACCAGUCACACGGGCACUGAGACACGGGCCCGACUCCUACGGGAGGCAGCAGUAAGGAAUAUUGGUCAAUGGACGCAAGUCUGAACCAGCCAUGCCGCGUGGAGGAUGAAGGUCCUCUGGAUUGUAAACUUCUUUUAUCUGGGAAGAAAUCCAUAUUUUCUAAUGUGGUUGACGGUACCAGAUGAAUAAGCACCGGCUAACUCCGUGCCAGCAGCCGCGGUAAUACGGAGGGUGCAAGCGUUAUCCGGAUUCACUGGGUUUAAAGGGUGCGUAGGCGGGUUGGUAAGUCCGUGGUGAAAUCCCCAAGCUUAACUUGGGAACUGCCGUGGAUACUAUCAAUCUUGAAUAUCGUGGAGGUAAGCGGAAUAUGUCAUGUAGCGGUGAAAUGCUUAGAUAUGACAUAGAACACCAAUUGCGUAGGCAGCUUACUACACGAUGAUUGACGCUGAGGCACGAAAGCGUGGGGAGCAAACAGGAUUAGAUACCCUAGUAGUCC
RNAcentral lists this ribosomal RNA (795 nucleotides) under uncultured bacterium. RNAcentral's name for it is "bacterial SSU rRNA". It matches the Rfam family "Bacterial small subunit ribosomal RNA", at positions 8 to 796 of the family's 1533-position model. The record is from RNAcentral.